RNAcentral lists this ribosomal RNA (289 nucleotides) under uncultured bacterium. RNAcentral's name for it is "partial 16S ribosomal RNA". It matches the Rfam family "Bacterial small subunit ribosomal RNA", at positions 775 to 1067 of the family's 1533-position model. The record is from RNAcentral.
GGAUUAGAUACCCUGGUAGUCCACGCCGUAAACUAUGGAUGCUAGCCGUCGGGGAGCAUGCUCUUCGGUGGCGCAGCCAACGCAUUAAGCAUCCCGCCUGGGGAGUACGGUCGCAAGAUUAAAACUCAAAGGAAUUGACGGGGGCCCGCACAAGCGGUGGAGCAUGUGGUUUAAUUCGAGGCAACGCGAAGAACCUUACCAGCUCUUGACUUCCUGGUCGGGGCUCCAGAGACGGAGCUCUUCAAUUGGCCAGUGACAGGUGCUGCAUGGCUGUCGUCAGCUCGUGCCG